Molecule: ribosomal RNA, 253 nt
Filed under: uncultured bacterium
Lineage: Bacteria
Description: partial 16S ribosomal RNA
Rfam family: Bacterial small subunit ribosomal RNA
Source: RNAcentral
UACGUAGGGUGCAAGCGUUGUCCUGAAUUAUUGGGCGUAAAGAGCUCGUAGGCGGUUUGUUGCGUCUGCUGUGAAAACUCGGGGCUUAACCCCGGGCCUGCAGUGGGUACGGGCAGACUAGAGUGCGGUAGGGGAGACUGGAAUUCCUGGUGUAGCGGUGAAAUGCGCAGAUAUCAGGAGGAACACCGGUGGCGAAGGCGGGUCUCUGGGCCGUAACUGACGCUGAGGAGCGAAAGCGUGGGGAGCGAACAGG